This 784-nucleotide ribosomal RNA is filed under the name uncultured bacterium. Its description in RNAcentral is "bacterial SSU rRNA". It matches the Rfam family "Bacterial small subunit ribosomal RNA", at positions 60 to 817 of the family's 1533-position model. The record is from RNAcentral.
AGUUCUCGUUGAUGAUCGGUGCUUGCACCGAGAUUCAACAUGGAACGAGUGGCGGACGGGUGAGUAACACGUGGGUAACCUGCCCUUAAGUGGGGGAUAACAUUUGGAAACAGAUGCUAAUACCGCAUAGAUCCAAGAACCGCAUGGUUCUUGGCUGAAAGAUGGCGUAAGCUAUCGCUUUUGGAUGGACCCGCGGCGUAUUAGCUAGUUGGUGAGGUAAUGGCUCACCAAGGCGAUGAUACGUAGCCGAACUGAGAGGUUGAUCGGCCACAUUGGGACUGAGACACGGCCCAAACUCCUACGGGAGGCAGCAGUAGGGAAUCUUCCACAAUGGACGCAAGUCUGAUGGAGCAACGCCGCGUGAGUGAAGAAGGCUUUCGGGUCGUAAAACUCUGUUGUUGGAGAAGAAUGGUCGGCAGAGUAACUGUUGUCGGCGUGACGGUAUCCAACCAGAAAGCCACGGCUAACUACGUGCCAGCAGCCGCGGUAAUACGUAGGUGGCAAGCGUUAUCCGGAUUUAUUGGGCGUAAAGCGAGCGCAGGCGGUUUUUUAAGUCUGAUGUGAAAGCCCUCGGCUUAACCGAGGAAGCGCAUCGGAAACUGGGAAACUUGAGUGCAGAAGAGGACAGUGGAACUCCAUGUGUAGCGGUGAAAUGCGUAGAUAUAUGGAAGAACACCAGUGGCGAAGGCGGCUGUCUGGUCUGUAACUGACGCUGAGGCUCGAAAGCAUGGGUAGCGAACAGGAUUAGAUACCCUGGUAGUCCAUGCCGUAAACGAUGAAUGCU